Long non-coding RNA from Grus americana (Whooping crane), 2012 nucleotides. RefSeq lists it as uncharacterized. The record is from RefSeq and is a predicted model, not a curated record. The transcript is spliced from 5 exons. NCBI's taxonomy places the organism in Eukaryota, Metazoa, Chordata, Aves, Gruiformes, Gruidae.
UGCGAAUUGACGGGAGAAGCUGGGUUUGUCUUGUUUGUCCAGGAGACGGUGAGGGGGUGAUGAGAUCCUGCUCUGUCCGAACCUUUGUGGGGAAUUUCUUCUGUGGCUGGAAGCGGAUGCUGUAGGACAAUGCAGAAUUAAAGAUGCCGUAAGCGUGAAGGAUGCUGAAAACCUGUUCCCCAAUUUCAGAGGACACCUCUGUUUCCUACGAGGCACACGCUGAGGGUUGACUCACCAUGCUGAGUGUACUGCUGACUCUGGAAACGGGAUGCUGAUGAUGCAAACCUGGCAAAGCGAUGGAAAUAAAAAGCGCGUAUCUCGAAAGUUCCCUCUUCUUCAACCCUUCAUGGUUCAGCACAGCAGUCCCGUGUAAGGAUACCUACAUUUGGAGCUAAUUUUCUUGCCUACUGAAGAUAAAGAUACACGGUUACAAAUUAAAACUAUCACAAAUUUAACGGCUGGUGGAACCUGUGCUGUGGAAGUUUUUUGACUUAGAAACAUCCUUCAUCGUGAAGGCUAUGCUGUGAGAUUACCUCAGCCGGCGUUACGUUUCACAGGAUAAAUUCCAAUCCAAAUGCUAAGCAGCCGAUCUUCCGCACGUUGCCAAGGCAGAUGCAGAUACUAAAAGGAUGCUCAAGAUGGACAACUGCAACUCCUCUGCCUCGCUGGGAGUGGGAGUGAGGCACAUGGUCCCACACACCGGGGAGCUGGAGCCUGAGUCUCUGAGAAGGAGCAGCCUUUACCCGAUGGCCUCGGUGUCCCACAGCCCCCGCAUCGCUCCGCAGCACACGAAGGGUUGAGGGUCUGCUCUGCAGACCUCUGCUUGGAUCCAGCGGUCCCAUUGCACUGCUGCUUUGCAGGUCUUUCUCCUCGAGCUGAGGGGUCACAAGUCCUCCACUUCUUUGGACCAGUGCAGUGGUCCAAACCCCAGGAUGCUGAAGGCCUUUGUCUUGCCAGCCCUGUGCUUCUGCACAUGUAAAGUAAUUCCUGCCUCUGCAGCGUGUUCUCAGAUGUUUGUGAAUGCCGAUUGCUGGAUUUCGUGACUGCCCGACAUACGUCACAGUGGGUCCUACUGACGCAUACCUACGAAAGCUCACCUGGCUCGUUCCCUGCCAGGUGACACGGGAAGCAGGUAGCUCACAGCCAAACUGCUUCAUUUCUUUGCUCAGCGAAGGCAAGGAUCAGCUCCAGAUGCCCGCCCAACAUUCCUGUACAACUGGAUUGCUGUCUGCCAUCAUAAACUCUUUUUAAUUUUUUUUUCACAGUUUGUCAUAAAUUUAGUCUCGCAGAAAAGUCUUGCUCUUGUCAUUGCCUUGUAACUUAGUAAAAGGGGUACAGGACAACGUCCCUGAUCAUAUCUGAUUGCUGCUGGAUAAGUGCUCCGUGAGGCCAAGGAAGUAAUGAGAAGAAUAUAAAUAUCAGCUUUAGAAAGAGAUGUUACUGGACUCCUGUGGCAAUUUCCUAUGGUAAUAAGCAUCCAGAAGGAUAUUAAAAAUGUCAUUUGUGCUUUAAAAGUAAUAAUAAUUGAAAUAGAUUCUGGCAUCUUUUAUAACAACAGAGCCAACAAUUAUUACUGGGAAAAUUUUAAAAGAAAACAAACACAUUAAAUAAUUAGUUAAUUGAAUUGCCAAUAUGCUGCUGCUGCUGAAAUUAAUCUGAAAAAUAUGAGAUUAGCAGCGUGGUUUUGCACAAUUAUAGUUGGUUGGAGGUAAAAUUAAGAGGAGGACUGGGAUGCGUUCAGCUGGAAAGCAGACUCCGUCGGCACGGAGCCCGGUCUGCGGCGCGGGGUCCUGUGGGACCCUGGUGCCCGGGGCUGCGACGGGUCCCUGCUGCGGGCACACGGGCCCAUGGCCGGCCACGCCGUCUCGGUCAGGGAGCUGAGAUCCGGCGUCGUGUCCCGCGCACUUGCCCGACAUCGGUUUCUGUGAGCAAUGCCCCUUUUGCUCAGCAUUGUAAAGUUAAUACUCCACAAGCAAGCUGAGCUAUAAAUUUAUUAUCAUUCCUGUUUUUAC